Long non-coding RNA from Planococcus citri (citrus mealybug), 407 nucleotides. RefSeq lists it as uncharacterized. The transcript has 3 exons. NCBI's taxonomy places the organism in Eukaryota, Metazoa, Arthropoda, Insecta, Hemiptera, Pseudococcidae. The record is from RefSeq and is a predicted model, not a curated record.
UAAAAGUAACACGUAUUGCUGAUAAGAACAUCAUUUUGCAAUUUACAAUUCACCGUUAACAUUACUGUCUUGAUUUCUUUCAUACUUAAUCAAAAUGCAUCAAUAUUUCUCUGUUCGUGUAUUUUGCGUUAUGCUGCUGACUUUUUACUUCAUAAAUUCAGCACUAUCUCAAGCAUGCAACGACCCGAAUGAAGAAAGGCGUAGCUGCGCUCCGAACAAACGAUGCAGCACUUGUGGAGUUCAAAUUUGUACCCAGGAAUGCCAAGUUAAUGCCUGUAUUUGCAAACAAGGUUUUCGCUAUAAUGCGGGAGGAAUAUGCAUCCCUGAACAUCAGUGCUAGUGACAAGAGUUGACAUUUUUAAGCAUUGUACUGAAUCGAAAAAAUACAUAUACAAUUGCUCACUGUA